Molecule: ribosomal RNA, 776 nt
Filed under: uncultured Neocallimastigales
Lineage: Eukaryota; Fungi; Neocallimastigomycota; Neocallimastigomycetes; Neocallimastigales
Description: partial large subunit ribosomal RNA
Rfam family: Eukaryotic large subunit ribosomal RNA
Source: RNAcentral
UCAGACGAUGCGUCAUGCAUAUCAAUAAGCGGAGGAAAAGAAACUAACAAGGAUUCCCCUAGUAACGGCGAGUGAAGCGGGAAGAGCUCAAAUUUGAAAUCUUAAAGGGUUUCCCUUUACGAAUUGUAGUUUAAAGAAGUGUUUUCUGUUAGAGGUUUCGGUAAAAGUUCUUUGGAAUAGGACAUCAUAGAGGGUGAGAAUCCCGUAUUUGACCUUUACUUUCUAACUUUGUGAUACACUUUCAAAGAGUCGGAUUGUUUGGGAAUGCAGUCCAAAAUGGGUGGUAAAUUUCAUCUAAAGCUAAAUAUUGGCGAGAGACCGAUAGCGAACAAGUACCGUGAGGGAAAGAUGAAAAGAACUUUGAAAAGAGAGUUAAACAGUACGUGAAAUUGUCAAAAGGGAAGCGUUUGACACCAGUGUUGUUUUUCUGAAAAUCAAUUAAAGAACUGUUUAUGCUAAGCUGUUUAGACUUUAUCAGCUAACUGUUUAGUUUUGAGCUUUUCUUUAAUGCACUUUUCAGUUAACAAGUCAACAUCAAUUUCUUUUGCUGUAAAAAAGCUUGAGGAAGGUGGCUUGAGAUUCGUCUUAAGUGUUUAUAGCCUCUUGCCUAUGCAGUCGGAGAGAUUGAGGUCUGCAGCGUAGAUCCUUCGGGGCUAAAUGCAUUUGUGCUAAGUUAUAGCAUUUUAUAGACAACUUGUUGACUAUGAUUUGUCUUGUAGCUUACUCGCUUAUGUUAUUUUACCUACGCUUAGGAUGUUGAAGUCAUCGUAUCGCGC